ACUGAGUGUACUACUGAGUGUACUACUACUACUGAGUGUACUACUACUGAGUGUACUGCUGAGUGUACUACUACUGAGUGUACUACUACUACUGAGUGUACUACUACUACUGAGUGUACUACUACUGAGUGUACUACUACUACUGAGUGUACUACUACUGAGUGUACUGCUGAGUGUACUACUACUGAGUGUACUGCUGAGUGUACUACUACUACUGAGUGUACUACUACUGCUUGUACUACUGAGUGUACUACUACUGAGUGUACUGCUGAGUGUACUACUACUGAGUGUACUACUACUGAGUGUACUGCUGAGUGUACUACUGAGUGUACUACUACUGAGUGUACUGCUGAGUGAACUACUACUGAGUGUACUGCUGAGUGAACUACUACUGAGUGUACUGCUGAGUGAACUACUGCUGAGUGUACUGCUGAGUGUACUACUACUGAGUGUACUGCUGAGUGAACUACUACUGAGUGUACUGCUGAGUGUACUACUGAGUGUACUACUACUGAGUGUACUGCUGAGUGUACUACUACUGAGUGUACUGCUGAGUGUACUACUACUGAGUGUACUACUGAGUGUACUGCUGAGUGUACUACUACUGAGUGUACUGCUGAGUGAACUACUACUGAGUGUACUGCUGAGUGAACUACUACUGAGUGUAUGCUGAGUGUACUACUGAGUGUACUACUACUGAGUGUACUACUACUGAGUGUACUGCUGAGUGUACUACUACUGAGUGUACUGCUGAGUGUACUACUGAGUGUACUACUACUGAGUGUACUGCUGAGUGAACUACUACUGAGUGUACUGCUGAGUGUACUACUGAGUGUACUACUACUGAGUGUACUGCUGAGUGUACUACUGAGUGUACUACUACUGAGUGUACUGCUGAGUGAACUACUACUGAGUGUACUGCUGAGUGAACUACUACUGAGUGUACUACUACUGAGUGUACUACUACUGAGUGUACUACUACUGAGUGUACUACUACUGAGUGUACUACUACUGAGUGUACUGCUACUGAGUGUACUACUACUGAGUGUACUACUACUGAGUGUACUACUACUGAGUGUACUACUACUGAGUGUACUACUGCUGAGUGUUCUACUACUGAGUGUACUGCUGAGUGAACUACUACUGAGUGUACUGCUGAGUGAACUACUACUGAGUGUACUACUACUGAGUGUACUACUACUGAGUGUACUGCUGAGUGUUCUACUACUGAGUGUACUGCUGAGUGUACUACUACUGAGUGUACUGCUGAGUGUACUACUACUGAGUGUACUGCUGAGUGUAAUACUGAGUGUAAUACUGUACUCCUAUUCCCGAAGUGGCAUUACAGAUUCUGACAGGGAAAAACUCCCACUAUGAAUAAACAGUAUCAUAGAUAGAUUAGAUUGUAAUAUGGUUCUUCUCUGUGAGGGAUUAGGUCCAGGCUUUGGUACUGUCUGGAUAAACCAAGCAGACCUGGGUUCAAAUAGUAUUUGUAAAAAAAAAAAAAAAGACAAGCUCAGGUCAAUCUUUCUUCUGAUCCAAGGAUGACCUAAAGCCAACUGCACCUCCG
This is a long non-coding RNA of Oncorhynchus tshawytscha (Chinook salmon), 1570 nucleotides long. Lineage: Eukaryota; Metazoa; Chordata; Actinopteri; Salmoniformes; Salmonidae. The record is from Ensembl.